Molecule: ribosomal RNA, 216 nt
Filed under: uncultured bacterium
Lineage: Bacteria
Description: partial 16S ribosomal RNA
Rfam family: Bacterial small subunit ribosomal RNA
Source: RNAcentral
GUAUGGGAGUCUGCCCGAUAGAGGGGGAUAACUACUGGAAACGGUGGCUAAUACCGCAUAAUGUCUACGGACCAAAGCAGGGGCUCUUCGGACCUUGCACUAUCGGAUGAACCCAUAUGGGAUUAGCUAGUAGGUGGGGUAAAGGCUCACCUAGGCGACGAUCUCUAGCUGGUCUGAGAGGAUGAUCAGCCACACUGGGACUGAGACACGGCCCAG